RNAcentral lists this ribosomal RNA (499 nucleotides) under uncultured bacterium. Its description in RNAcentral is "bacterial SSU rRNA". It matches the Rfam family "Bacterial small subunit ribosomal RNA", at positions 8 to 524 of the family's 1533-position model. The record is from RNAcentral.
AGAGUUUGAUCCUGGCUCAGGACGAACGCUGGCGGCGUGCUUAACACACGCAAGUCGAGCGAUGAAGCUCCUUCGGGAGUGGAUUAGCGGCGGACGGGUGAGUAACACGUGGGUAACCUGCCUCAUAGAGGGGAAUAGCCUUCCGAAAGGAAGAUUAAUACCGCAUAAGAUUGUAGUACCGCAUGGUAUAGCAAUUAAAGGAGCAAUCCGCUAUGAGAUGGACCCGCGUCGCAUUAGCUAGUUGGUGAGGUAACGGCUCACCAAGGCGACGAUGCGUAGCCGACCUGAGAGGGUGAUCGGCCACAUUGGGACUGAGACACGGCCCAGACUCCUACGGGAGGCAGCAGUGGGGAAUAUUGCACAAUGGGGGAAACCCUGAUGCAGCAACGCCGCGUGAGUGAUGACGGUCUUCGGAUUGUAAAACUCUGUCUUUGGGGACGAUAAUGACGGUACCCAAGGAGGAAGCCACGGCUAACUACGUGCCAGCAGCCGCGGUAAU